UGAGCAGUCAGUUCAUGUGUGGUAUUAGUGUCGCGCAGUGCUUUUCUUAUUCUUGAAAUAUUUAGUAGCAGGGGUACAGGUGUACCCCUGCUAGUUACCGUAGCAAAUUAUUAUAGUUUUUUGCGUUUGCAUAAGACACAAAAUGACUUCUCAACAAAAGUGUUUCUAUUUGACAAAUCCGAAUGAUAUCGACGAAAUACAUCGUAUCCUCUAUGAUUCUGAGUUAGACGACUCUCCGAGUGAUAGCGACGAGGCAGACCUAAUUAUUCCUGAUUUUAGAGCCGAUCCAGAGGAAAACGAGACCUCGGAAAAUGUCGAGGCCAUUCCAUCCACUUCAGUUUGCUAUGAUUUUGAAGAUGAAUCCGAUGACGAUGGCUCAGUUAAAACGCACGUAUAAAACCAAAGUUAAAAUUUUACAGGUUCCUACUCAACUACAAGGAAAAAAUCAGUAUAAGUGGUCAGGAGUGAAAGGAAAAUCAGUUCGUCGUACACCAAAAAGAAAUCUUGUUCUACAUUUACCUGGAAACAAAAACGAGUUAAGGAAUCUACAGUCAGGGCUAGAAGCUUGGAAGUUAUGUUUUAACAUGGAAAAUUUAAUUCAAAUUACAGAAUAAACUAACAAAGAAAUAGAACUUGAAAGAAUAAAUUAUGGAGAAAAGAAACUCAAUAAUCAGGCCGAAGAUCCUAACACAGCUGUCUCGACGGCUUCUUCAUUUACUAAAAACACCGACAAUAUUGAAAUUCAAGCCAUCUUUGGUUUAUUUUAUUAUGCAGGAGAUAUGAAAAUAAAUGGUGUAAAUACCAACGAACUUUUUGAUAAAGAUAGUGUUAUACCAAUAUUUCGAGCCACAAUGCCAGAAGCGACGAACAAUUGGUUGGAUUUCGAGGACGAUGUCCAUUCAAAAUGUACAUUCCUUCAAAACGAAACAAAUAUGGUCUUAAGCUUGUGAUGUGCUGUGAUACUAAAACAGCUUUUGUACUUGAUGCUGAAGUUUAUGUAGGUAAGGACUCCACACCACGGGAUGUUCCUGUUGUGUUGUGAUGCCCAGUACUAUUGCGACGAACUUACCUCUUCCUUUCAAGGAACGAAUAGAAAUUUGACUAUGGACAAUUGGUUCACCUCUAUAGAUACAGCAAAAAUGCUUUUAGAUAAAAAGCUUACUAUUAUUGUUGGUACAUUAUGGAAGAACAAAAAAGAAAUUCCAGGAUUUUUUAUGGACCUUAAAGUUAGAGAAAUAAAUACAGCAAUGUUUUGCUAUAGUGACGAAUUAACACUUUUAUCUUUUUGUCCACCGAAGAAUAAAAAAAAAAUUGUUUUAAUGCUAUCCACAAUGCACGAAAAAGGAGAUGAGCAACUUUCAAUAUAUUCCGGAAAUAAUUAAAUUUUAUAAUUCAACCAAGGGGGGAGUAGAUAGAUACCUUGGAACAAUUGUGUCACACAUAUUCAACUAACAGAAAGACUCGUCGUUGGCCCUUAUGUCUAUUUUAUAAUUUGUUAAAUAUUGUGGGGUACUCGAUGAUCCUUUUAAGAGAAAAAGAAAUUGUAACCAAGAGAAGAGCUUUCUUGAAAAAACUAGCACUUGAUCUAAUAAAACCUCAAAUGGAACGUCGUUUGGAAACUCCAACUUUGAGGCGCGAACUCCGGCAAACUAUUUGCAAUGUACUAAAAAAAAAAAGAUGUAGUGGAAGCAUCAACAAAACCAGAGCCUACUGUAGGUCGAUGUGCAUUUUGUUUAGGAAGCGACGAUUGAAAAUCUAGGGUUAGUUGCAACGUAUGCAAAAAAUUUAUUUGUUUACAGCACCAAAAGAAAAUAUGCCCCACUUGUGCAGAAUAAAAAAUAAAACAAAUUUUUGUAAAAAUAAAUAAAUGUUUUAAAUGCUUUUUAAA
Molecule: long non-coding RNA, 1888 nt
Filed under: Anthonomus grandis grandis
Lineage: Eukaryota; Metazoa; Arthropoda; Insecta; Coleoptera; Curculionidae
Description: uncharacterized LOC126733776
Source: RNAcentral